Molecule: long non-coding RNA, 828 nt
Organism: Vidua chalybeata
Lineage: Eukaryota; Metazoa; Chordata; Aves; Passeriformes; Viduidae
Exons: 2
Source: RefSeq, a predicted model, not a curated record
CCACAUUCACCGCAACAUCCUAAACCCUCUGCCCCGGUACAAGAUGACUCAGUACAAGAUGACUCAGAGGGGGAUGAGUUGAAUGUUGAGCUCCAGGGGAAUAACCAGCAGGUAACUAGAAGCCAGACUAGGAAAAGGCGGGAGGACCUCCCCAGCUGAUAGCCUGGCUCGGUGAGGGAGAAAUCGCGAUUUCAGUGUGUUGUGUGUUGUGUCCCGAUUUCAGUGUGGUGUGUCCCAGUUUCAGUGUGGUGUGUCUGUUACAUCCCGACAUGCGUGCUUGUGUGUGUGUGUGUGUGUAUGUGUGAAGCGCGGUUCGGCGUUACUAAGAUACAGAGACGUGGCCCGGCGGUGCCGGAGAGCGCAUGCGCGGGGCAGCAGUCCACACUGCUUGAUAGAGCGGAUAGCGCGCAUGUGCGGCACGGGCUGUCCCUGGCGAGGCAGGGGAGCGCGGCGCGAGGAUUGCAAAGGUGCUUUAGGCAUAGCCUACCUGAUAGCGCAGCAGGCGCGUGGGCACAAGCUGCAGUUUGAAGAGCUGCUUUGAACACCACUAGCUGAUAGCGCAGCUAGUGAGAGCGUGGUACAAGAGACAGCAAUUCGGACCGCCGAGAAGCGAUAGACCCACGUGAGUCGAGUUAAAGGGCUGAUCACUACAGCUGACCAUUAGAGAGUAACGAGCCAACCCGGAAACCUGAAGGUCACCUUGAAGAAAAACUAACAGACUCAGUGUGGGUAAUCCAGAUGGACCAAGAAGGGGAACAGAAAGGAUACACUUACCCCUUGGCUGAUGAUUUAUAGAGUAGUGUGUAAAGAAAUACGUUGUGAUUGUUA